Erigeron canadensis is the source of this 1240-nucleotide long non-coding RNA. RefSeq lists it as uncharacterized. NCBI's taxonomy places the organism in Eukaryota, Viridiplantae, Streptophyta, Magnoliopsida, Asterales, Asteraceae. The record is from RefSeq and is a predicted model, not a curated record. The transcript has 3 exons.
AAAGGUCCAAAACUCUAAUUGUCGUCGUGGUAUAUUUUACCCUAUAUUCUACAAGUUAUUUAUAAACGGUUGUCAUGGCCCACAACUCUAAUCGCGUUGCGGUGAUAUUUGAUAAUAAUCUUCGUUGUUGAUUAUCUACAAGUUGUGGUAUAAUUCACCCCAUACUCUACAAGUUGUUGUUUAUUAACAGUCGUCAGGAAGGUUCACCACUCUAAUAUAUGUUACUGAUUUUGUCUUUUUGACCAUACAGAAAGAAAGUAUCAUCCGGGAAUUUUAUCAUGUUGACAAGAAGCGACUUUUGCUUUUGUAGGGCUUGGGGAAUGUGGGAUCUCGGGUUGCUAAUUUGGUUCAUGAAAGGGAUAGCAAGCUGUUCAUUUUUAAUACUCAGCAUUCCACAAGCCUUUGGUUGAGCCGUUGAGUUUUUGUAGGUAGAUAGGGUGGCAGGUGGGACGCAACUAGCAUCCUAAUCUUCUUGCUUGGACCUACUAGGAUUUAAGGUGCAGACCAAGGUUAUAUGCGAGGUUGUUGGCAACAGUAUUAACAGAUUCAGUGUUGGCUGGUGAAAGGUCUUUGAUGUCUGCAGCAGUGUUGCUUGAUAAGCUCUACAAGAAAUACUUAAUUAAAAUGAAGCGUAAAAGAAAGAUGAAUAAGGAGAUGCAUAUUUUCAUAAUGUGGCUAAAUCGGAAGACCUCGGGUUGACUAUUCCAAGUCUAAGAAAGCCAUAUCCAUCAAUAAAAAAAGCCUUCUUUUGUAGGUCACAUUCUCAAAUUUAAACUCUCUUAUGUAAACAUUGGCCACUUAAUGUAAGUUCCAGUUAUCGCUCUAGAUUUUCAAGAUUCGUAUGUAGAGUUUGAGUUAAUAUUAUUGACAAAUGAAUAGCAAAUUGCAUGUGGGCGUUGUUGCUGCAGGUGUGGAUUUUGAUACAAGUCUAUUAUCGUUUAUGAUUUUUUUUAAAAAGAAGGAUACUGAUUGAAAGAAAAAUAAAAAGAAUGGAGGGAUCAUUGGUGGCAUUUGUAUACAUAGAUUUACAAGUAGCUACAACUUCAGUACGCAUUAGAGACUCUAUAUCCAUCAGCCAAUGUGUAAGAAUCUACGUUGACAAAUUGUCAUAUUAUAGCUUUAUUGAUGAUUGUCUUUAUUAUUUAUAUUCAUAUUAUACAAUUGUUUAUUUAAUCUUUGUUUAAUCAAAUUGUAACCUUUCAAUUGUAAAUAAGAUCUGAUACUUUUAGUUUUGUGGACC